RNAcentral lists this ribosomal RNA (207 nucleotides) under uncultured bacterium. RNAcentral describes it as "partial 16S ribosomal RNA". It matches the Rfam family "Bacterial small subunit ribosomal RNA", at positions 1294 to 1500 of the family's 1533-position model. The record is from RNAcentral.
CGGAUUGAAGGCUGAAAUUCGCCUUCCAUGAAGCUGGAAUUGCUAGUAAUGGCAGGUCAGCAUACUGCCGUGAAUACGUUCCCGGGCCUUGUACACACCGCCCGUCACACCAUGAGAGUUGGAAAUACCCGAAGCCUGUGAGCUAACUUAAGGAGGCAGCAGUCGAAGGUAGAGCCAAUGAUUGGGGUGAAGUCGUAACAAGGUACC